RNAcentral lists this long non-coding RNA (1304 nucleotides) under Homo sapiens (human). RNAcentral's name for it is "long non-coding RNA NONHSAT171438.1". The record is from RNAcentral. Lineage: Eukaryota; Metazoa; Chordata; Mammalia; Primates; Hominidae.
CAAAUAGCAUUUAGAGUUACAAAACAGAAUUUAUAUUUCAGGCUAAAAGCAAUAUCAGGGUUAGAAGGAAGCGACACUGCCUGAGAAAUAGAUGUGGGAAGAAGGGCCAUAGCAACAAUGUGUCUUGGAAUGGGCCAUAAGAACCAAUUAUUGGCCGAGGUUAUCGGGAAAAUACUAGGGCAUAUGUUGUGAUCAUAAGCAAAGAGUUUAUUGCAUCUUAUUUAAAAGCAUGUGUGGCAUCAGGGGGAUUUCUUUUCUCUACUUUGAUGUUACAAGUGGAAGGGUCUACAGCUUCCGGCUCCACCAGGAAACUCUCCUCUUCCAGGAAAGAGGAGUAGCUUAUAGGAUGGUAAGCUUGGAAGAAGCUGAAGGUGCUUGUCCCAGUCCUUUCUUCCUUCCUCUUUGGGGAUUUGCCACCUACAAAAAGCACAUCUCACUCUGCUCUUCCGCAGCACCCAGAGGAGACACCUGCAUACCUGAUGCUGCCCUGACUGAUUGGGGAGCUAAGUCUCUUGCAGCGGGCAUAUUUGGGAAUCCAUUGUUGCUGCACAUGUAAAUCAUGGCCUUCAAAUCCAGCUGACCCUGUAGCAGAAACACAGGAAUUUUUAUUGACAGGGUUCAUGAUCAAAAUUGUUUAAAGAGUACUCAUUUGUGUCAUACUACUUUUUAUAGCUCCAGUCUCAAACAUGUGUCCAGGACUUCCUAGGUCCUUUGCACACUCCUUCUUGGCUUACACUGUAGACUCAACAUAUCAUCCCAAAGUUCCUUAUGAUAUGAUCAGUCCUAGGUGCUUUGCUCUUCUCUCCGUUUAAUCUUUCCCUAGGUGAUUUCAUCCAAUCACUCUGAGGCUGAUGACACCCAAUUCUUCAUUGCAACCUAAGCCCUCUACUUUAAAUUAAUAUGUGCAUAUUCAAACAGGCUACUCACCUCCUCCACCUGUCUGUCUCAUUAGCACCUCAGACUCAGCACAUUCGAACUAAACUGAUUUCCACCCUGCACCCUGUACAAACUCAUCCUCCCUCGGCUUUCUUUAUCUUGGUAACUGACAAUCUGGAUAUGCAGCUGCACCAGGCAGAUUUCCAACAGUCAUCCUGGACACCAUCCUCUUCCUCAACCACACAUCCAGUGUGAGGAUGCUUCUGAUAACUUGGUUACCAGUGAUUUUUAUCUGCAUUGGAUCUACUUUAAUAAACCCCACAGCCUGAAUAGCAGCUACUAGGGUAGUGCCAGUGGAUGUAUAUGGAGACUGGGCUGGAAUGGCUGAGUGUGUGGGUGCGCAGCUGGGAGCAGCCAUGGCAGUAAGG